CCGCGUGUGUGAAGAAGGCCUUUUGGUUGUAAAGCACUUUAAGCAGUGAAGAAGACCUAACGGUUAAUACCCGUUAGCGAUGACAUUAGCUGCAGAAUAAGCACCGGCUAACUCUGUGCCAGCAGCCGCGGUAAUACAGAGGGUGCAAGCGUUAAUCGGAAUUACUGGGCGUAAAGCGAGCGUAGGUGGCUUGAUAAGUCAGAUGUGAAAUCCCCGGGCUUAACCUGGGAACUGCAUCUGAUACUGUCAGGCUAGAAUAGGUGAGAGGAAGGUAGAAUUCCAGGUGUAGCGGUGAAAUGCGUAGAGAUCUGGAGGAAUACCGAUGGCGAAGGCAGCCUUCUGGCAUCAUAUUGACACUGAGGUUCGAAAGCGUGGGUAGCAAACAGGAUUAGAUACCCUGGUAGUCCACGCCGUAAACGAUGUCUACUAGUCGUUGGGUCCCUUGAGGACUUAGUGACGCAGCUAACGCAAUAAGUAGACCGCCUGGGGAGUACGGCCGCAAGGUUAAAACUCA
Molecule: ribosomal RNA, 514 nt
Filed under: Psychrobacter sp.
Lineage: Bacteria; Pseudomonadati; Pseudomonadota; Gammaproteobacteria; Moraxellales; Moraxellaceae
Description: bacterial SSU rRNA
Rfam family: Bacterial small subunit ribosomal RNA
Source: RNAcentral